RNAcentral lists this ribosomal RNA (480 nucleotides) under uncultured Blastocladiomycota. Its description in RNAcentral is "SSU rRNA". It matches the Rfam family "Eukaryotic small subunit ribosomal RNA", at positions 624 to 1108 of the family's 1831-position model. The record is from RNAcentral. Lineage: Eukaryota; Fungi; Blastocladiomycota.
AAGCUCGUAGUUGAAUUUCCGGUCUGGCUGGGUGGUCUUGCCGCAAGGUAAGCACUGCUCUGGUUGGGUCUUUCCUUCUGGGGAACCAGCGUGCUCUUAAUUGAGUGCACUGGGGAUCCAGGACUUUUACUUUGAAAAAAUUAGAGUGUUUAAAGCAGGCUUACGCUUGAAUACAUUAGCAUGGAAUAAUAGAAUAGGACUUUGGUUCUAUUUUGUUGGUUUCUAGGACCGAAGUAAUGAUUAAUAGGGAUAGUUGGGGGCAUUAGUAUUUAAUUGUCAGAGGUGAAAUUCUUGGAUUUAUGAAAGACUAACUUCUGCGAAAGCAUUUGCCAAGGAUGCUUUCAUUAAUCAAGAACGAAAGUUAGGGGAUCGAAGACGAUCAGAUACCGUCGUAGCCUUAACCAUAAACUAUGCCGACUAGGGAUCAGACGAUGUUAUUUUAUUGACUCGUUCGGCACCUUAUGAGAAAUCAAAGUUUUU